GGGGUGUUAGCUCAGCUGGGAGAGCACUUGCCUUGCACGCAAGGGGUCAUCGGUUCGAUCCCGAUACGCUCCACCA
This 76-nucleotide transfer RNA is filed under the name Erysipelotrichaceae bacterium. Its description in RNAcentral is "tRNA-Ala". It matches the Rfam family "tRNA". Rfam says of the family: Transfer RNA (tRNA) molecules are approximately 80 nucleotides in length. The record is from RNAcentral. Lineage: Bacteria; Bacillati; Bacillota; Erysipelotrichia; Erysipelotrichales; Erysipelotrichaceae.